RNAcentral lists this ribosomal RNA (500 nucleotides) under uncultured bacterium. RNAcentral describes it as "partial 16S ribosomal RNA". It matches the Rfam family "Bacterial small subunit ribosomal RNA", at positions 30 to 523 of the family's 1533-position model. The record is from RNAcentral.
AUUGAACGCUGGCGGCAUGCCUUACACAUGCAAGUCGAACGGCAGCACGGGAGCAAUCCUGGUGGCGAGUGGCGAACGGGUGAGUAAAGUAUCGGAACGUGCCCAGUCGUGGGGGAUAACGUAGCGAAAGUUACGCUAAUACCGCAUACGAUCUAUGGAUGAAAGCGGGGGAUCGCAAGACCUCGCGCGAUUGGAGCGGCCGAUAUCAGAUUAGGUAGUUGGUGGGGUAAAGGCUCACCAAGCCGACGAGCUGUAGCUGGUCUGAGGGGACGACCAGCCACACUGGGACUGAGACACUGCCCAGACGCCUACGGGAGGCAGCAGUGGGGAAUUUUGGACAAUGGGCGAAAGCCUGAUCCAGCCAUGCCGCGUGCAGGAUGAAGGCCUUCGGGUUGUAAACUGCUUUUGUACGGAACGAAAAGGUUUGGGCUAAUAAGCUGAGCUCAUGACGGUACCGUAAGAAUAAGCACCGGCUAACUACGUGCCAGCCGCCGCAGUAA